UGAAUGGGAAUUCGGGGAAUAGCUCUCUCACGUGAGAUUAUAUAAAUUACUUAAUGAGUGAAAAGUCUCAUAUGUAGAAGAAAGACGAGAAGACCCUAGAAAUUUUAUAUACAAAAUCAUAUAUGUUAUUUUGUUGGGGCGACAUGGUAACAAUUAACUUACUAUAUAUACAAGCUACUAAUAAGUUGUAAGAAUAAAUUACUCUAGGGAUAACAGCAUUAUUCAAUAUGAGUUUGUGACCUCGAUGUUGGACUAGGAAAUAAUUUUUUUAGAAGAUAAAUUAUUUGGCUCUGUUCGAGCUUAUUAUCCUACAUGAUCUGAGUUCAAACCGGAGCUCCA
Molecule: ribosomal RNA, 339 nt
Filed under: Trochulus sp. 1 MP-2005
Lineage: Eukaryota; Metazoa; Mollusca; Gastropoda; Stylommatophora; Hygromiidae
Description: partial 16S ribosomal RNA
Source: RNAcentral